RNAcentral lists this ribosomal RNA (732 nucleotides) under Butyrivibrio sp. RM85. Its description in RNAcentral is "bacterial SSU rRNA". It matches the Rfam family "Bacterial small subunit ribosomal RNA", at positions 24 to 740 of the family's 1533-position model. The record is from RNAcentral. Lineage: Bacteria; Bacillati; Bacillota; Clostridia; Lachnospirales; Lachnospiraceae. RNAcentral also lists the same sequence under 1 other name.
UCAGGAUGAACGCUGGCGGCGUGCCUAACACAUGCAAGUCGAACGGAGAAUUUACGCUGAUGAAGCUUCGGCAGAUUCUUGUAAAUUCUUAGUGGCGGACGGGUGAGUAACGCGUGGGCAACCUGCCUCAUACUGGGGGAUAACAGCUGGAAACGACUGUUAAUACCGCAUAAGCGCACGGUAUCGCAUGAUACAGUGUGAAAAACUCCGGUGGUAUGAGAUGGGCCCGCGUCAGAUUAGCCAGUUGGCAGGGUAACGGCCUACCAAAGCGACGAUCUGUAGCCGGCCUGAGAGGGCGGACGGCCACAUUGGGACUGAGACACGGCCCAAACUCCUACGGGAGGCAGCAGUGGGGGAUAUUGCACAAUGGAGGAAACUCUGAUGCAGCGACGCCGCGUGAGUGAAGAAGUAUUUCGGUAUGUAAAGCUCUAUCAGCAGGGAAGAAAGACUCGUAAGAGAGAUGACGGUACCUGACUAAGAAGCCCCGGCUAACUACGUGCCAGCAGCCGCGGUAAUACGUAGGGGGCAAGCGUUAUCCGGAUUUACUGGGUGUAAAGGGAGCGCAGACGGUCAAGCAAGUCUGAAGUGAAACCCCACGGCUCAACCGUGGGCUUGCUUUGGAAACUGUUUGACUAGAGUACUGGAGAGGUAAGCGGAAUUCCUAGUGUAGCGGUGAAAUGCGUAGAUAUUAGGAGGAACAUCGGUGGCGAAGGCGGCUUACUGGACAGCAAC